This 37-nucleotide ribosomal RNA is filed under the name Chama congregata. RNAcentral describes it as "partial 18S ribosomal RNA". Lineage: Eukaryota; Metazoa; Mollusca; Bivalvia; Venerida; Chamidae. The record is from RNAcentral.
AACCUGCGGAUKGAUCAUUAACAAACUCCGAAACUCU